This 460-nucleotide ribosomal RNA is filed under the name uncultured bacterium. Its description in RNAcentral is "partial 16S ribosomal RNA". It matches the Rfam family "Bacterial small subunit ribosomal RNA", at positions 338 to 795 of the family's 1533-position model. The record is from RNAcentral.
CCUACGGGAGGCAGCAGUGAGGAAUAUUGGUCAAUGGGCGUAAGCCUGAACCAGCCAAGUCGCGUGAGGGAUGAAGGUUCUAUGGAUCGUAAACCUCUUUUAUAAGGGAAUAAAGUGUGGGACGGGUCCUGUUUUGUAUGUACCUUAUGAAUAAGGAUCGGCUAACUCCGUGCCAGCAGCCGCGGUAAUACGGAGGAUCCGAGCGUUAUCCGGAUUUAUUGGGUUUAAAGGGUGCGUAGGCGGCCUUUUAAGUCCGCGGUGAAAGUCUGUGGCUCAACCAUAGAAUUGCCGUUGAAACUGGGAGGCUUGAGUAUGUUUGAGGCAGGCGGAAGGCGGGGUGUAGCGGUGAAAUGCUUAGAUAUCACGCAGAACCCCGAUUGCGAAGGCAGCCUGCCAAGCCAUGACUGACGCUGAUGCACGAAAGCGUGGGGAUCAAACAGGAUUAGAUACCCGAGUAGUC